RNAcentral lists this ribosomal RNA (429 nucleotides) under Actinomycetes bacterium. Its description in RNAcentral is "Actinobacteria bacterium partial 16S ribosomal RNA". It matches the Rfam family "Bacterial small subunit ribosomal RNA", at positions 355 to 776 of the family's 1533-position model. The record is from RNAcentral. Lineage: Bacteria; Bacillati; Actinomycetota; Actinomycetes.
UAGGGAAUCUUCCGCAAUGGGCGAAAGCCUGACGGAGCAACGCCGCGUGAGUGAUGAAGGUCUUCGGAUCGUAAAACUCUGUUAUUAGGGAAGAACAAAUGUGUAAGUAACUAUGCACGUCUUGACGGUACCUAAUCAGAAAGCCACGGCUAACUACGUGCCAGCAGCCGCGGUAAUACGUAGGUGGCAAGCGUUAUCCGGAAUUAUUGGGCGUAAAGCGCGCGUAGGCGGUUUUUUAAGUCUGAUGUGAAAGCCCACGGCUCAACCGUGGAGGGUCAUUGGAAACUGGAAAACUUGAGUGCGGAAGAGGAAAGUGGAAUUCCAUGUGUAGCGGUGAAAUGCGCAGAGAUAUGGAGGAACACCAGUGGCGAAGGCGACUUUCUGGUCUGUAACUGACGCUGAUGGGCGAAAGCGUGGGGAUCAAACAGG